Molecule: ribosomal RNA, 1346 nt
Filed under: uncultured bacterium
Lineage: Bacteria
Description: partial 16S ribosomal RNA
Rfam family: Bacterial small subunit ribosomal RNA
Source: RNAcentral
GACGAACGCUGGCGGCGUGCUUAACACAUGCAAGUCGAACGGAAAGGCCCUGCUUUUGUGGGGUGCUCGAGUGGCGAACGGGUGAGUAACACGUGAGUAACCUGCCCUUGACUUUGGGAUAACUUCAGGAAACUGGGGCUAAUACCGGAUAGGAGCUCCUGCUGCAUGGUGGGGGUUGGAAAGUUUCGGCGGUUGGGGAUGGACUCGCGGCUUAUCAGCUUGUUGGUGGGGUAGUGGCUUACCAAGGCUUUGACGGGUAGCCGGCCUGAGAGGGUGACCGGCCACAUUGGGACUGAGAUACGGCCCAGACUCCUACGGGAGGCAGCAGUGGGGAAUAUUGCACAAUGGGCGGAAGCCAGAUGCAGCAACGCCGCGUGCGGGAUGACGGCCCUCGGGUUGUAAACCGCUUUCGCCUGUGACGAAGCGUGAGUGACGGUAAUGGGUAAAGAAGCACCGGCUAACUACGUGCCAGCAGCCGCGGUGAUACGUAGGGUGCGAGCGUUGUCCGGAUUUAUUGGGCGUAAAGGGCUCGUAGGUGGUUGAUCGCGUCGGAAGUGUAAUCUUGGGGCUUAACCCUGAGCGUGCUUUCGAUACGGGUUGACUUGAGGAAGGUAGGGGAGAAUGGAAUUCCUGGUGGAGCGGUGGAAUGCGCAGAUAUCAGGAGGAACACCAGUGGCGAAGGCGGUUCUCUGGGCCUUUCCUGACGCUGAGGAGCGAAAGCGUGGGGAGCGAACAGGCUUAGAUACCCUGGUAGUCCACGCUGUAAACGGUGGGUACUAGGUGUGGGGUCCAUUCCACGGGUUCCGUGCCGUAGCUAACGCUUUAAGUACCCCGCCUGGGGAGUACGGCCGCAAGGCUAAAACUCAAAGGAAUUGACGGGGCCCCGCACAAGCGGCGGAGCAUGCGGAUUAAUUCGAUGCAACGCGUAGAACCUUACCUGGGUUUGACAUGGAUCGGGAGUGCUCAGAGAUGGGUGUGCCUCUUUUGGGGUCGGUUCACAGGUGGUGCAUGGCUGUCGUCAGCUCGUGUCGUGAGAUGUUGGGUUAAGUCCCGCAACGAGCGCAACCCUUGUUCACUGUUGCCAGCACGUUAUGGUGGGGACUCAGUGGAGACCGCCGGGGUCAACUCGGAGGAAGGUGGGGAUGGCGUCAAGUCAUCAUGCCCCUUAUGUCCAGGGCUUCACGCAUGCUACAAUGGCUGGUACAGAGAGUGGCGAGCCUGUGAGGGUGAGCGAAUCUCGGAAAGCCGGUCUCAGUUCGGAUUGGGGUCUGCAACUCGACCUCAUGAAGUCGGAGUCGCUAGUAAUCGCAGAUCAGCAACGCUGCGGUGAAUACGUUCCCGGGGCU